Molecule: long non-coding RNA, 270 nt
Filed under: Elaeis guineensis (African oil palm)
Lineage: Eukaryota; Viridiplantae; Streptophyta; Magnoliopsida; Arecales; Arecaceae
Description: long non-coding RNA (EGUI_LNC075024)
Source: RNAcentral
UGGUGGAGCCACGUGGAAUCUAUUACAGAGAGUGGAGUGGGGUAGUGGCCAUUAUCGUGACUUGCCAAAGAGUUCGAGCCUGAUGGCUGAAGCUCGACUGGGACGUCUGAGGGAGCGGAGUGGCUCUCUAUCUCUGCAAUCUAAGAGAAGCUCGAAUAUUUUUGAGGUUGCUGAUGAGUCCACUGUUGUCGGAUGCCUUGGGCGCUGAUGCUGUAGGUGGAAGUCAUCUGCUUUAGAAGCUUGGAUGGAGACUUUCUGUUGGAGAAGUCU